RNAcentral lists this long non-coding RNA (1969 nucleotides) under Nicotiana benthamiana. RNAcentral's name for it is "long non-coding RNA (NBEN_LNC013909)". The record is from RNAcentral. Lineage: Eukaryota; Viridiplantae; Streptophyta; Magnoliopsida; Solanales; Solanaceae.
UAGAGUGACCCGACACAAUUGAUUUGAUUCAGUAAUUGUAAAAUCCGAAUAACCCGGACUAUGUACACCCCUACUUAAAUAUCAUGCUCUUGUCCAUGAGAGAGUUUGAAAUUGUGACGUGAGUCUAACCUCACCAUGCGUUGCUCUUUAUGUCUAGAUCAAAGUCAUGUGGCUUCUUUUGUGUCUCAUUAUAAUAUAAAUUAUUAUAUGAAAAAUUAAGGGGCUUUAAUAUAUUUUGGCUUUAAGUUACCAAAUUAUUUGAGCCGCUCCUGAAUUCAACGUAUAGUGUAUAUUAAAAAAAAUUAAAAAAAAAACUUGUCUACACAAUAUAAUGUUUGGACGAAAAAUCAAUGGAUAAAAGUGGUUCCGCCACUCUAAUUGAAAAAUAUUUUGACAAUUGCUCUAAUAUAUCCUCCCAUUGCAUGCUAAUUUUUGACUUGGUUCAUAAGUUGUUCAAGGUCUUCCAUUAUGCCAAAGACUUGGUAGUGGGAUCAUAUAUAUCAUGACAAAUUUGAACUUCAGCAUUUCAUAUUAAGAUUUUGAGUGCCAAUUCAGCAUCUUACACACUUUUGUGCCUUAAAAAUAUUCAAAUGAUGACAUCCACCCAAACUAGCACUCUUUAUCUUCACUCUUUUCUCAUGUUACAAAAAUGCUAAAUAUUCUAUCAAUUAACCAUGUCUUUUCUUCCUUUAUUUGGUGGUUAAAACUUAAAAUCCACAACACUUAUUGGCCCCAUUGUAACUCUCAUAGGUUGGUAUUGUGACACUUUUCACAAGGGAAAAUUCUUGUUUGGCUUUAGGAAUGGGGAGAUCUUUUACUUUCAAGAUUUUAUAUUCUAUCUAGAGUUGAGAUCAAAUCCAACAAUUGGUUCGCGGAUUCAACAGAAUUUAGUGAUUCGAGAUCAAUCUUUAUAUAUGUAUAAAGACUAGUAUAUAUAAAACUAGACAUAUAUAUUUUAGAACUCAUUUUCUCCAAUCAAAAGCCACAACGUAUAAAUUCUGAACCCGACACCGUUGAAUGAUAAUUUUAGGCAUGAAGAAACUAUCAUAUAGACAAUUUUAAGGCAUGCCACAAGAAUACUAUUGAUUUUUUUGUUGUUAAAUAAUUAUCCUAUUAGGGUUCUUGCCAGUCUGCAAGAUUUUCUUGUCACUUUACUUCAAUCCUUUUAUUUUGCCAACCCCCAAAACACAUACCUUGUAACCAUUAUUGGAAUUUCUAGUAAAAGGAGGUGAAUCACAUCAAAUUAUUAAACUUUUCCACCUCUGCCCACCUUCAUCAUUCUUUGACAUUCACCAUUUAAUUUCCUUUUCCCAUAAUAUACUACAGUAAAUUUGUCAUGUCAUUCAAAAACAAGAUGCAAGUGGAAGUAAAAUAAUACAUUCAUAUGCUUUUAUUUAUGUGAUAAAAGAAAUGGUACUUCUCCUCACAAAAGCUUUUGAAAAUCUCAUUGUACAUAGUACAUUUAGGAGGUACUAACAAAAAUAUAUUGAAUUUAUCAUGUGACAAAUCUUGGGUAGGUAACACACAACAUUGGCUUCUUACUCUGUGGGGAUGAGGCAGUGCUGCAACUAUCACCGAAAAAUUUUACUGCGUAUUUUUUAUGCAUAUAUAUACUAUAUAACUAAUUGAAUUCACUUAUAUAAAGAAAACUUUUAAUGUCGUACUUUUGAAUCCCCUCGUUAUUUCUGACUCCGCCACAAAUUCACUUAGGAUGAUAAAAAAGAUCCACAAUUCACGCAUGGUUCAGUGAAGCCGCACCCCUAUGGGUGUGAUAUAGAAUGUAUACUCUAAUACAAGCAUUAGUGGCUACUUUCACGUCUCAAACUCAUAAUAUAUAGAUCACACAAAGACAAUUUUACCAUUGCGCCAGUAAUCGCUUUCUUACUUAGAACGAUACUCUAAUUGUUGGAAGAGGAUUGCUAUUAAUAUUUGGAGGGAGGCUUUUAGACUAAGGGAAUUUUGGAANNNN